AGUGGAUGGGGAGCAACCUAGUUGUGCGUGUGUAAAGGUAGUGCCAAGAAAAGCGAUGAUCAUGUUGAAAAUCAAUUCCCGGUACCCGAAACCGACACAGGUGGGCAAGUAGAGAAUACUAAGGGGCGCGAGGUAACUCUCUCCAAGGAACUCGGCAAAAUGACCCCGUAACUUAGGGAGAAGGGGUGCCACCGAGAGGUGGUCGCAGUGAAGAGGCCCAGGCGACUGUUUAGCAAAAACAUAGGUCUCUGCAAACUCGAAAGAGGAGGUAUAGGGGCUGACGCCUGCCCAGUGCCGGAAGGUUAAAGAUGUUGGUCAGUUUUAGGAUGAAGCUAGCGACUGAAGCCCCGGUGAACGGCGGCCGUAACUAUAACGGUCCUAAGGUAGCGAAAUUCCUUGUCGGGUAAGUUCCGACCCGCACGAAAGGCGUAACGAUCUGGGCGCUGUCUCGGAGAGAGGCUCGGCGAAAUAGGAUUGUCUGUGAAGAUACGGACUACCUGCAUUUGGACAGAAAGACCCUAUGAAGCUUUACUAUAGCUUGGAAUUGUGUUCGGGCUUCCUGUGCGCAGGAUAGGUGGGAGGCGUAGAAGGUAUUCUUGUGGGGAUACUGGAGCCAACGGUGAGAUACCACUCUCAGGAGGCUAGAAUUCUAACUUAAUUAAGGACAGUUUCAGGUGGGUAGUUUGACUGGGGCGGUCGCCUCCAAAAAGGUAACGGAGGCGUACAAAGGUUCCCUCAGACUGGUUGGAAAUCAGUCGAAGAGUGCAAAGGCAGAAGGGAGCUUGACUGCGAGAAGUACAGUUCGAGCAGGGUGGAAACACGGUCUUAGUGAUCCGACGGUGCUGUGUGGAAGGGCCGUCGCUCAACGGAUAAAAGUUACUCUAGGAUAACAGGCUGAUCUCCCCCAAGAGUUCACAUCGACGGGGAGGUUUGGCACCUCGAUGUCGGCUCAUCGCAACCUGGGGCGGAAGUACGUCCCAAGGGUUGGGCUGUUCGCCCAUUAAAGCGGUACGUGAGCUGGGUUCAGAACGUCGUGAGACAGUUCGGUCCAUAUCCGAUGUAGGCGUGAGAAUAUUGAGAGGAGCCUUCCUUAGUACGAGAGGACCGGGAAGGACGCACCGCUGGUGUACCUGUUAUGAUGCCAAUUGUAAACGCAGGGUAGCCAAGUGCGGAGAGGAUAACCGCUGAAAGCAUCUAAGUGGGAAGCCCACCUCAAGAUGAGUAUUCUGGUGUAAGGUCACGGGAAGACGACCCGUAAAUAGGCACGAGGUGGAAGUGCAGAGAUGUAUGAAGCCGAAGUGUACUAAUAGACCGUCGGCUU
Molecule: ribosomal RNA, 1321 nt
Filed under: metagenome
Description: bacterial LSU rRNA
Rfam family: Bacterial large subunit ribosomal RNA
Source: RNAcentral